GCUGGGUAUGGUGGCACAUACCUGUAAUCCCAGCUACUCAGGUGGCUAAGGUAGGAGGAUAGCAAGUUUAAGGCCAUCAUUGCCAACUUGAUGUGACCCUGUCUUAA
RNAcentral lists this small RNA (107 nucleotides) under Marmota monax (woodchuck). The record is from RNAcentral. Lineage: Eukaryota; Metazoa; Chordata; Mammalia; Rodentia; Sciuridae.